GACGAACGCUGGCGGCGUGCUUAACACAUGCAAGUCGAACGGACAGGCCCUGCUUUUGUGGGGUGCUCGAUUGGCGAAGGGGUGAGUAACACGUGAGUAACCUGCCCUUGACUUUGGGAUAAAUUUAGGAAACUGGGGCUCAUACCGGAUAUGAGCUCCUGCUGCAUGGUGGGGGUUGGAAAGUUUCGGCGGUUGGGGCUGGACUCGCGGCUUAUCAGCUUGUUGGUGGGGUAGUGGCUUACCAAGGCUUUGACGGGUAGCCGGCCUGAGAGGGUGACCGGCCACAUGGGGACUGAGAUACGGCCCAGACUCCUACGGGAGGCAGCAGUGGGGAAUAUUGCACAAUGGGCGGAAGCCUGAUGCAGCAACGCCGCGUGCGGGAUGACGGCCUUCGGGUUGUAAACCGCUUUCGCCUGUGACGAAGCGUGAGUGACGGUAAUGGGUAAAGAAGCACCGGCUAACUACGUG
This 468-nucleotide ribosomal RNA is filed under the name uncultured bacterium. RNAcentral's name for it is "partial 16S ribosomal RNA". It matches the Rfam family "Bacterial small subunit ribosomal RNA", at positions 28 to 507 of the family's 1533-position model. The record is from RNAcentral.